Molecule: long non-coding RNA, 542 nt
Organism: Planococcus citri (citrus mealybug)
Lineage: Eukaryota; Metazoa; Arthropoda; Insecta; Hemiptera; Pseudococcidae
Exons: 3
Source: RefSeq, a predicted model, not a curated record
UGUAUUGUUACUUAAUGGCUGCAUUAGGAACUGAAAACAUGUUCACCGUAGGUGCCACGUUGGGAACCAAUUGGGAUGUGCCAGUUGAUUUGGAUAAGUUAAUCUUUGACGAAAAAAUGAAAACGAAAGCAAAUCGAAGAGAAAAACGAUCACUCUAUCCCAAAAUCGAGUACAUGUUAAAUCAAUUAAAUAUCGAUGGUAAAUCUUGCCUUAAAAACCUACUGUGCCGAUCUAAAGAUCGAUUGAGAUCACCAUCGAAUGCACGUAUUCAAAACUCGUUUAUUGAAGAAAUUGUGCACUUGGUUUUUUCAUACCCAACAUUGCCGGAAGGAUGGUAUGAGCCAGUUGACGAGUACGAUUUUAUACUAGACGAAUGCGAAAAUACAAAAAAUUACUACAAUGACGCAUGCGUCAUAAGAUGAAAUCGCACAGCCUUAUCAUUUUGUGAAUUUUAAUCUUAAGCAAUUGUCCAAGAUUUUAAUAGGUAUAUUUUAUUUUUUCUCACCGAACAAGGUUAUCCUACAACAGUUCCAUUUUAAUUG